GUACUCCCUGCGGCAGCACAUAUACUAAAACUGGAACAAUACAGAGAAGAUUUACAUGGCCCCUGCACAAGAAUAACGGGCAAAUUUGUGAAUAUAGAAAUAUAGAA
This 107-nucleotide small nuclear RNA is filed under the name Spermophilus dauricus (Daurian ground squirrel). The record is from RNAcentral. Lineage: Eukaryota; Metazoa; Chordata; Mammalia; Rodentia; Sciuridae.